AGGAUGAACGCUGGCGGCGUGCUUAACACAUGCAAGUCGAACGAUGAAGGCUGGAGCUUGCUCUGGCUGGAUUAGUGGCGAACGGGUGAGUAACACGUGAGUAACCUGCCCCAGACUCUGGGAUAAGCGCUGGAAACGGCGUCUAAUACCGGAUACGAGCUU
RNAcentral lists this ribosomal RNA (162 nucleotides) under uncultured soil bacterium. RNAcentral describes it as "partial 16S ribosomal RNA". It matches the Rfam family "Bacterial small subunit ribosomal RNA", at positions 26 to 182 of the family's 1533-position model. The record is from RNAcentral.